RNAcentral lists this ribosomal RNA (253 nucleotides) under uncultured bacterium. RNAcentral's name for it is "partial 16S ribosomal RNA". It matches the Rfam family "Bacterial small subunit ribosomal RNA", at positions 524 to 776 of the family's 1533-position model. The record is from RNAcentral.
UACGGGGGGGGCAAGCGUUGUUCGGAAUUACUGGGCGUAAAGGGCGCGUAGGCGGCCCGCUAAGUCGAACGUGAAAUCCCCGGGCUCAACCCGGGAACUGCGUCCGAUACUGGUGGGCUUGAAUCCGGGAGAGGGAUGCGGAAUUCCAGGUGUAGCGGUGAAAUGCGUAGAUAUCUGGAGGAACACCGGUGGCGAAGGCGGCAUCCUGGACCGGCAUUGACGCUGAGGCGCGAAAGCCAGGGGAGCAAACGGG